This 466-nucleotide ribosomal RNA is filed under the name uncultured bacterium. Its description in RNAcentral is "partial 16S ribosomal RNA". It matches the Rfam family "Bacterial small subunit ribosomal RNA", at positions 28 to 507 of the family's 1533-position model. The record is from RNAcentral.
GAUGAACGCUGGCGGCGUGCUUAACACAUGCAAGUCGAACGAUGAAGCCCAGCUUGCUGGGUGGAUUAGUGGCGAACGGGUGAGUAACACGUGAGUAACCUGCCCUUAACUCUGGGAUAAGCCUGGGAAACUGGGUCUAAUACCGGAUAGGAGCUUCCACCGCAGGGUGGGUGUUGGAAAGAUUUAUCGGUUUUGGAUGGACUCGCGGCCUAUGAGCUUUUUGGUGAGGUAAUGGCUCACCAAGGCGACGGCGGAUAACCGGCCUGAGAGGGUGAACGGCCACACGGGGACUGCGACACGGACCAGACUCCUACGGGAGGCAGCAGGGGGGAAUCUUGCACAAUGGGCGCAAGCCUGAUGCAGCGACGCCGCGUGAGGGAUGACGGCCUUCGGGUUAUAAACAUCUCUAAGUAGGGAAGAAGCGAAAGUGACGGUACCUGAAGAAGAAGCACCGGCUAACUACGUG